This is a long non-coding RNA of Mytilus californianus (California mussel), 1853 nucleotides long. RefSeq lists it as uncharacterized. Lineage: Eukaryota; Metazoa; Mollusca; Bivalvia; Mytilida; Mytilidae. The record is from RefSeq and is a predicted model, not a curated record. The transcript has 2 exons.
UAGUUAGAUUUGGUGACACUGAGUGCCUGUUUUUAUGCUUCAUCGAAAAUAAGGUCAUGGCUACCUCUUUUGAUCAUUGUGGUAUUUGUCAAAUCAAGACACGUUUCUAAGUUAUCCGUGGUUUGGUGCUCAGAUUGCGAUGAAGGAUUAUGCCAAGACUGUAUAGAAAAUCAUAGCUUGUCAAAGGCAACACGAAACCAUAAAACUGUUCCUAUUGACGAAUAUCAUAAGUUGCCAUCUUUUAUUGCAAACAUCACACUGCACUGCGAUGAACACGAUGAGAAGUACCAAUUGUUUUGCAAGGAACACAAUGUCAUGUUGUGUAGAAAAUGCGUCAUUUCUGAAAACCACGUAGAAUGUAAAGUUAUAUUCCCUAUUGAAGAUGUCAUUCAAAAUGCUAAAACAUCUAUAGCCUUUACAGAAAUGGCGUCCUCAUUCCAGGAAAUGAAAGAAAAUCUCCAACUUAUCCUUAUGGACAGACAAAAGAAUCUAUCUUCACUAUCAGAUUCAAAACAAAAACUGGAGUCCGAGAUAUCAGCGAUUCGGCACAAGAUUAAUCAAGACCUUGAUAUAAUACAAGACCAUUUCAUUGUUGAACUGAACAAAGCUGUAGAACAUUCAACACAACAAAUACAAAGCUUCAUUGCAUCUCUGAAGAUUAACCAAAGGGAAAUUGAUGAGUGUAUAGAAGAUGUAGAAAACAUAAAGAAUCAUGCAACAGAUAUGCAAACAUAUAUAGGAACCAGGCUUUUAGAAACUAAACUGAAUAGAACAGAAAAUGACAUGCAGGCUUGGAUUAAUGGUGGUAGUUUAGCUCACACUGUAGUUUCUUACGAAUUAAACACUGUAUUGAAUAAUAUAAAUGACGAAAUAACUACGUUCGGAAAACCUGUUGUAGAUGUACAAUCAUGUCAACUGUCAUUACUAAGAAGGAAAGAGGGCCAGGCUUAGUUGAUGAAAGUAAACGCGGAACCUAAAACUAUUGAGCAUAUCACAUUGACCUUAAAAACGAAAAUAAAAACAUCAGCUUUCAAUGUCUCGGGCUGUUGUAUUUUACCUUGUGGCAAACUUGUAAUUGCAAACUUUGAUCCUUCGUAUUUGAUAUUACUUUUACCUGAUGGGAAAAUUGAAAAACAAAUUACCAACAUAAUAUCCCGUAUUUAUGAUGUUACAGACACUGAGAAGAAUAUUAAACUGGUGAGUCUUAAAUCAGGAAAAACAUGCAAAAGUAUUAAUACCCAUUUCCCUUCCUGUGAUGUAACUCGCACUAAUGGUAAUUUGAUCAUUUCUCCCGAUGAAGGACAACUGCAGGAGAUCAAGAUAGAAGAUACCACAGCAAGGGAAAUUGGACGUACUGUAGUCUCAACAUACGUUGCUUCAUUAGGCAAUACAUUAUACUCCGUACAGAGAGGUACAAAUUCGGUUGUCUGUCAUAAUGAAAAAGGGGAUACGCUAUGGACAUUUGCGAACGAAACGAUAUUGAAAGAAGCCAGAGGAAUCACAGCAGAUGAAUAUGGAAAUGUAUUUGCCGCCGGGGCCGAAUCGAACAACGUGAUUGCAAUAGCCUAUGAUGGCAAAAAACACAAAGUUCUCCUGUCAAUGAUAGACUUGUGUCGUUCUCCAUGGGCAAUUGACUACAACAGCGAAUUGAAAUCUUUGCUUGUAGUAAACGAAAAAGAUGGUCAAGCGUUUGUGUACAAUGUAAACUCCGCCUAAAUAUAUUUGCAACCGUAGCAUUAUUUUAAAACUAAAUAAAUUGACAGUGACAACCUUUUCAUCAAAUGCAGAUAAACUUAAUCAUUUUUUUCAUAUUUGUUUACAACAUACAGUGUUAUAUUAGUAUGUAAUCCGUU